GUCCACGCCGUAAACGAUGGGUGCUAGGUGUCGCGGGCUUUGACCCCUGCGGUGCCGUAGCUAACGCAUUAAGCACCCCGCCUGGGGAGUACGGCCGCAAGGCUAAAACUCAAAGGAAUUGACGGGGGCCCGCACAAGCGGUGGAGCAUGUGGUUCAAUUCGACGCAACGCGCAGAACCUUACCUGGGCUAGAAAGUGCAGGAGCCUGGUAGAAAUAUCGGGGUGCUCUUCGGAGAACCUGCAGUUAGGUGCUGCAUGGCUGUCGU
Molecule: ribosomal RNA, 266 nt
Filed under: uncultured bacterium
Lineage: Bacteria
Description: partial 16S ribosomal RNA
Rfam family: Bacterial small subunit ribosomal RNA
Source: RNAcentral